GUUGCUCAUAUUUGUAUGGAAUGGGAUCGUUUGCCUACGUUUGCCGCUAGGGGCGCUGUUCCAACUGCAUACAAAAUUGGGUUA
RNAcentral lists this microRNA precursor (84 nucleotides) under Bombyx mori (domestic silkworm). RNAcentral describes it as "mir-2807 microRNA precursor family". It matches the Rfam family "mir-2807 microRNA precursor family". Lineage: Eukaryota; Metazoa; Arthropoda; Insecta; Lepidoptera; Bombycidae. The record is from Rfam by way of RNAcentral.